Molecule: ribosomal RNA, 494 nt
Filed under: uncultured bacterium
Lineage: Bacteria
Description: partial 16S ribosomal RNA
Rfam family: Bacterial small subunit ribosomal RNA
Source: RNAcentral
GACGAACGCUGGCGGCGUGCUUAACACAUGCAAGUCGAACGGAAAGGCCUGCUUUCCCUUGUGGAUUGCGGGUACUCGAGUGGCGAACGGGUGAGUAACACGUGAGUGAUCUGCCCCCAACUUGGGUAUAAGCCUGGGAAACUGGGUCUAAUUCCCGAUAGGACUGCAGGGUGGUGCCUGUGGUGGAAAACGAUUUUCUAGUGGUUGGGGAUGAGCUCGCGGCCUAUCAGCUUGUUGGUGGGGUAAUGGCCUACCAAGGCGGCGACGGGUAGCCGGCCUGAGAGGGUGGACGGACACAUUGGGACUGAGAUACGGCCCAGACUCCUACGGGAGGCAGCAGUGGGGAAUAUUGCACAAUGGGCGGAAGCCUGAUGCAGCGACGCCGCGGGGGGGAUGACGGCCUUCGGGUUGUAAACUCCUUUCGACCGCGAGGAAGCCACCUGGUUGGAAGGGUGGUGACGGUAGUGGUAGAAGAAGCACCGGCUAACUACGUG